GACGAACGCUGGCGGCGUGCCUAAUACAUGCAAGUUGAGCGAUGAAGAUUGGUGCUUGCACCAAUUUGAAGAGCAGCGAACGGGUGAGUAACGCGUGGGGAAUCUGCCUUUGAGCGGGAGACAACAUUUGGAAACGAAUGCUAAUACCGCAUAACAACUUUAAACAUAAGUUUUAAGUUUGAAAGAUGCAAUUGCAUCACUCAAAGAUGAUCCCGCGUUGUAUUAGCUAGUUGGUGAGGUAAAGGCUCACCAGGGCGAUGAUACAUAGCCGACCUGAGAGGGUGAUCGGCCACAUUGGGACUGAGACACGGCCCAAACUCCUACGGGAGGCAGCAGUAGGGAAUCUUCGGCAAUGGACGAAAGUCUGACCGAGCAACGCCGCGUGAGUGAAGAAGGUUUUCGGAUCGUAAAACUCUGUUGGUAGAGAAGAACGGUGGUGAGAGUGGAAAGCUCAUCAAGUGACGGUAACUACCCAGAAAGGGACGGCUAACUACGUG
RNAcentral lists this ribosomal RNA (497 nucleotides) under uncultured bacterium. Its description in RNAcentral is "partial 16S ribosomal RNA". It matches the Rfam family "Bacterial small subunit ribosomal RNA", at positions 28 to 507 of the family's 1533-position model. The record is from RNAcentral.